This 732-nucleotide ribosomal RNA is filed under the name Zasmidium sp. RNAcentral describes it as "eukaryotic LSU rRNA". It matches the Rfam family "Eukaryotic large subunit ribosomal RNA", at positions 99 to 867 of the family's 3401-position model. The record is from RNAcentral. Lineage: Eukaryota; Fungi; Ascomycota; Dothideomycetes; Mycosphaerellales; Mycosphaerellaceae.
CGGCAACAGCUCAAAUUUGAAAUCUGGCGCAAGCCCGAGUUGUAAUUUGUAGAGGAUGCUUCUGGGCAGCGGCCGUUCUAAGUUCCUUGGAACAGGACGUCAUAGAGGGUGAGAAUCCCGUAUGUGACCGGCGCGCACCCUCCACGUAGCUCCUUCGACGAGUCGAGUUGUUUGGGAAUGCAGCUCUAAAUGGGUGGUAAAUUCCAUCUAAAGCUAAAUAUUGGCCAGAGACCGAUAGCGCACAAGUAGAGUGAUCGAAAGAUGAAAAGCACUUUGGAAAGAGAGUUAAAAAGCACGUGAAAUUGUUGAAAGGGAAGCGCUUACAACCAGACUCCGCGGCGGUGUUCCGCCGGUCUUCUGACCGGUCUACUCGCCGCCGUGGGGCCAACAUCGUCUGGGGCCGCCGGAUAAGACCGUAGGAAUGUAGCUCAUUGAGUGUUAUAGCCUGCGGUGAUGCGGCGCGUCCCGGGCGAGGUCCGCGCUUCGGCAAGGAUGUUGGCGUAAUGGUUGUCAGCGGCCCGUCUUGAAACACGGACCAAGGAGUCUAACAUCUAUGCGAGUGUUCGGGUGUCAAACCCCUACGCGUAAUGAAAGUGAACGGAGGUGGGAAGCUUCGGCUGCACCAUCGACCGAUCCUGAUGUCCUCGGAUGGAUUUGAGUAAGAGCAUAGCUGUUGGGACCCGAAAGAUGGUGAACUAUGCCUGAAUAGGGUGAAGCCAGAGGAAACUCUGG